CUGCGCUUCCGAGUGGCGACUGCAGCGGGUCCGGUGCAGGUGAGGGGCGCGCGCCUGCCCAGCUUUGCAGCCCCCGAACGCGGCCUCGCACAGAUACCCAGACAAAUGGAUUCUAAAAUUUAAAUAGAAGAGCAAAGAAAAUAGGAACCAAUUUGAAGGACUACAAGGUGGAAUGCUUGCUCAGCUCAGUAUCAACACUUACGGAGUCAUUGCAGUUGUUUUCAGUAGAGGUGUACUUCUGAGAAGUGGCUUCUUGGGUCUUCAUGCAGCCAUGGAUCUGGAUAAACCAUCUGUUUGGGGCUCAUUAAAACAGCGGACCAGGCCAUUGUUGAUCAACUUGAGCAAGAAGAAGGUGAAAAAGAACCCAAGUAAGCCCCCAGAUCUAAGGGCAAGGCAUCACUUGGACCGCCGUCUCAGCCUCUCUGUGCCUGAUCUCCUGGAGGCUGAGGCCUUGGCCCCAGAGGGCCGGCCUUACUCCGGGCCACAGUUUUCCUACACCUCGGUGCCCAGCAGUCUGUCCACUGCAGGGAUCUUUCCCAAGAGCAGCAGUAGCUCCUUGAAACAGUCUGAAGAAGAAUUGGAUUGGAGCCAGGAAGAAGCCAGUCACCUCCAUGUGGUGGAAACAGACUCAGAGGAGGCCUAUGCCUCUCCUGCUGAGCAGAGACGGGUGUCCAGCAAUGGCAUCUUUGAUCUUCAGAAAACUUCCCUUGGAGGGGAUGCACCAGAAGAGCCAGAGAAGCUAUGUGGAAGCAGUGACCUGAAUGCUUCUAUGACAUCUCAGCAUUUUGAAGAACAAUCU
RNAcentral lists this small RNA (799 nucleotides) under Pan troglodytes (chimpanzee). Its description in RNAcentral is "processed transcript". The record is from RNAcentral. Lineage: Eukaryota; Metazoa; Chordata; Mammalia; Primates; Hominidae.